RNAcentral lists this ribosomal RNA (373 nucleotides) under uncultured organism. RNAcentral's name for it is "bacterial SSU rRNA". It matches the Rfam family "Bacterial small subunit ribosomal RNA", at positions 526 to 896 of the family's 1533-position model. The record is from RNAcentral.
CGUAGGGUGCGAGCGUUGUCCGGAAUUAUUGGGCGUAAAGAGCUCGUAGGCGGCCUGUUGCGUCUGCUGUGAAAGCCCGGGGCUUAACCCCGGGUCUGCAGUGGAUACGGGCAGGCUAGAGUUCGGCAGGGGAGACUGGAAUUCCUGGUGUAGCGGUGAAAUGCGCAGAUAUCAGGAGGAACACCGGUGGCGGAGGCGGGUCUCUGGGCCGAUACUGACGCUGAGGAGCGAAAGCGUGGGGAGCGAACAGGAUUAGAUACCCUGGUAGUCCACGCCGUAAACGUUGGGCGCUAGGUGUGGGGUCCCUUCCACGGGUUCCGUGCCGUAGCUAACGCAUUAAGCGCCCCGCCUGGGGAGUACGGCCGCAAGGCUA